GGGUGAUUAGCUCAGCUGGGAGAGCACCUCCCCAAGGAGGUCGGCGGUUCGAUCCCGUCAUCACCCACCA
RNAcentral lists this transfer RNA (70 nucleotides) under Escherichia coli. Its description in RNAcentral is "tRNA-OTHER". It matches the Rfam family "tRNA". Rfam says of the family: Transfer RNA (tRNA) molecules are approximately 80 nucleotides in length. Their secondary structure includes four short double-helical elements and three loops (D, anti-codon, and T loops). Further hydrogen bonds mediate the characteristic L-shaped molecular structure. tRNAs have two regions of fundamental functional importance: the anti-codon, which is responsible for specific mRNA codon recognition, and the 3' end, to which the tRNAs corresponding amino acid is attached (by aminoacyl-tRNA synthetases). tRNAs cope with the degeneracy of the genetic code in two manners: having more than one tRNA (with a specific anti-codon) for a particular amino acid; and 'wobble' base-pairing, i.e. permitting non-standard base-pairing at the 3rd anti-codon position. Lineage: Bacteria; Pseudomonadati; Pseudomonadota; Gammaproteobacteria; Enterobacterales; Enterobacteriaceae. The record is from RNAcentral.